AUUGAACGCUGGCGGCAGGCCUAACACAUGCAAGUCGAACGAGUGGCGGACGGGUGAGUAAUGUCUGGGAAACUGCCUGAUGGAGGGGGAUAACUACUGGAAACGGUAGCUAAUACCGCAUACCAUCAGAUGUGCCCAGAUGGGAUUAGCUAGUGGGUGGGGUAAAGGCUCACGAAGGCGACGCUCCCUAGCUGGUCUGAGAGGAGGACCAGCCAGACUGGAACUGAGACAAGGUCCAGACUCCGACGGGAGGCAGCAGGGGGGUAUAUUGCACAAUGGGCGCAAGCCUGAUGCAGCCAUGCCGCGUGGAUGAAGAAGGCCUUCGGGUUGUAAAGUACUUUUAGCGGUGAGGCGUUACCCGCAGAAGAAGCACCGGCUAACUCCGUGCCAGCAGCCGCGGUAAUAC
This 406-nucleotide ribosomal RNA is filed under the name uncultured bacterium. RNAcentral's name for it is "partial 16S ribosomal RNA". It matches the Rfam family "Bacterial small subunit ribosomal RNA", at positions 29 to 526 of the family's 1533-position model. The record is from RNAcentral.